RNAcentral lists this ribosomal RNA (1343 nucleotides) under uncultured bacterium. RNAcentral's name for it is "16S ribosomal RNA". It matches the Rfam family "Bacterial small subunit ribosomal RNA", at positions 28 to 1378 of the family's 1533-position model. The record is from RNAcentral.
GACGAACGCUGGCGGCGUGCUUAACACAUGCAAGUCGAACGGAAAGGCCCUGCUUUUGUGGGGUGCUCGAGUGGCGAACGGGUGAGUAACACGUGAGUAACCUGCCCUUGACUUUGGGAUAACUUCAGGAAACUGGGGCUAAUACCGGAUAGGAGCUCCUGCUGCAUGGUGGGGGUUGGAAAGUUUCGGCGGUUGGGGAUGGACUCGCGGCUUAUCAGCUUGUUGGUGGGGUAGUGGCUUACCAAGGCUUUGACGGGUAGCCGGCCUGAGAGGGUGACCGGCCACAUUGGGACUGAGAUACGGCCCAGACUCCUACGGGAGGCAGCAGUGGGGAAUAUUGCACAAUGGGCGGAAGCCUGAUGCAGCAACGCCGCGUGCGGGAUGACGGCCUUCGGGUUGUAAACCGCUUUCGCCUGUGACGAAGCGUGAGUGACGGUAAUGGGUAAAGAAGCACCGGCUAACUACGUGCCAGCAGCCGCGGUGAUACGUAGGGUGCGAGCGUUGUCCGGAUUUAUUGGGCGUAAAGGGCUCGUAGGUGGUUGAUCGCGUCGGAAGUGUAAUCUUGGGGCUUAACCCUGAGCGUGCUUUCGAUACGGGUUGACUUGAGGAAGGUAGGGGAGAGUGGAAUUCCUGGUGGAGCGGUGGAAUGCGCAGAUAUCAGGAGGAACACCAGUGGCGAAGGCGGUUCUCUGGGCCUUUCCUGACGCUGAGGAGCGAAAGCGUGGGGAGCGAACAGGCUUAGAUACCCUGGUAGUCCACGCUGUAAACGGUGGGUACUAGGUGUGGGGUCCAUUCCACGGGUUCCGUGCCGUAGCUAACGCUUUAAGUACCCCGCCUGGGGAGUACGGCCGCAAGGCUAAAACUCAAAGGAAUUGACGGGGCCCCGCACAAGCGGCGGAGCAUGCGGAUUAAUUCGAUGCAACGCGUAGAACCUUACCUGGGUUUGACAUGGAUCGGGAGUGCUCAGAGAUGGGUGUGCCUCUUUUGGGGUCGGUUCACAGGUGGUGCAUGGCUGUCGUCAGCUCGUGUCGUGAGAUGUUGGGUUAAGUCCCGCAACGAGCGCAACCCCUGUUCACUGUUGCCAGCACGUUAUGGUGGGGACUCAGUGGAGACCGCCGGGGUCAACUCGGAGGAAGGUGGGGAUGACGUCAAGUCAUCAUGCCCCUUAUGUCCAGGGCUUCACGCAUGCUACAAUGGCUGGUACAGAGAGUGGCGAGCCUGUGAGGGUGAGCGAAUCUCGGAAAGCCGGUCUCAGUUCGGAUUGGGGUCUGCAACUCGACCUCAUGAAGUCGGAGUCGCUAGUAAUCGCAGAUCAGCAACGCUGCGGUGAAUACGUUCCCGGG